GUGGGGAAUUUUGGACAAUGGGCGCAAGCCUGAUCCAGCAAUGCCGCGUGCAGGAAGAAGGCCUUCGGGUUGUAAACUGCUUUUGUACGGAACGAAACGGUCCGGGUUAAUACCCUGGGCUAAUGACGGUACCGUAAGAAUAAGCACCGGCUAACUACGUGCCAGCAGCCGCGGUAAUACGGAGGGUGCAAGCGUGAAUCGGAAUUACUGGGCGUAAAGCGUGCGCAGGCGGUUUUGUAAUACAGGCGUGAAAUCCCCGGGCUCAACCUGGGAAUUGCGCUUGUGACUGCAAGGCUGGAGUGCGGCAGAGGGGGAUGGAAUUCCGCGUGUAGCAGUGAAAUGCGUAGAUAUGCGGAGGAACACCGAUGGCGAAGGCAAUCCCCUGGGCCUGCACUGACGCUCAUGCACGAAAGCGUGGGGAGCAAACAGGAUUAGAUACCCCUGUAGUCC
Molecule: ribosomal RNA, 450 nt
Filed under: uncultured bacterium
Lineage: Bacteria
Description: partial 16S ribosomal RNA
Rfam family: Bacterial small subunit ribosomal RNA
Source: RNAcentral